GGGGGGUGCGAGCGUUAAUCGGAAUAACUGGGCGUAAAGGGCACGCAGGCGGUGACUUAAGUGAGAUGUGAAAGCCCCGGGCUUAACCUGGGAAUUGCAUUUCAUACUGGGUCGCUAGAGUACUUUAGGGAGGGGUGGAAUUCCACGUGUAGCGGUGAAAUGCGUAGAGAUGUGGAGGAAUACCGAAGGCGAAGGCAGCCCCUUGGGAAUGUACUGACGCUCAUGUGCGAAAGCGUGGGGAGCAAACAGGAUUAGAUACCCUGGUAGUCCACGCUGUAAACGAUGUCGAUUUGGGGGUUUGGGCUUUAAGCUUGGCGCCCCGUAGCUAACGUGAUAAAUCGACCGCCUGGGGAGUACGGCCGCAAGGUUA
RNAcentral lists this ribosomal RNA (370 nucleotides) under uncultured organism. RNAcentral describes it as "partial 16S ribosomal RNA". It matches the Rfam family "Bacterial small subunit ribosomal RNA", at positions 527 to 896 of the family's 1533-position model. The record is from RNAcentral.